Non-coding RNA from Nothobranchius furzeri (turquoise killifish), 74 nucleotides. Lineage: Eukaryota; Metazoa; Chordata; Actinopteri; Cyprinodontiformes; Nothobranchiidae. The record is from the annotation of a RefSeq genome assembly.
GGCCUCGUUGGCGCAGUAGGUAGCGCGUCAGACUCAUAAUCUGAAGGUCGUGAGUUCGACCCUCACAUGGGUCA